This 77-nucleotide small nucleolar RNA is filed under the name Macaca nemestrina (pig-tailed macaque). RNAcentral describes it as "Small nucleolar RNA SNORD116 (ENSMNEG00000016359.1)". Lineage: Eukaryota; Metazoa; Chordata; Mammalia; Primates; Cercopithecidae. The record is from RNAcentral.
GGAUCAUGAUGACUUAAAAAUGGAUCUCGGAAUCUGAGCAAAAUGAGUGACCAAACCACUUGUGUGCACUGAGGUCC